This 373-nucleotide ribosomal RNA is filed under the name uncultured bacterium. RNAcentral describes it as "bacterial SSU rRNA". It matches the Rfam family "Bacterial small subunit ribosomal RNA", at positions 132 to 507 of the family's 1533-position model. The record is from RNAcentral.
AGUCGUGGGGAUAACGUAGGGAAACUUACGCUAAUACCGCAUGCGCCUCGGGGAAAGCCGGGGACCUUCGGGCCUGGCGCGAUUGGAUGAGCCACGUCGAUUAGCUAGUUGGCGGGGUAAAGCCCACCAAGGCGACGAUCCGUAGCUGGUCUGAGAGGAUGAUCAGCCACACUGGAACUGAGACACGGUCCAGACUCCUACGGGAGGCAGCAGUAGGGAAUAUUGGACAAUGGGCGCAAGCCUGAUCCAGCCAUGCCGCGUGAGUGAAGAAGGCCCUCGGGUUGUAAAGCUCUUUUGUCCGGAAAGAAAAGCGCCGGGUUAAUACCCUGGUGUCCUGACGGUACCGGAAGAAUAAGCACCGGCUAACUUCGUG